GGAGAGGUGUCCGAGUGGUUUAAGGAGCUGGUCUUGAAAACCAGUGACCUCGCAAGGGGCCAAGAGUUCGAAUCUCUUCCUCUCCGCCA
This 89-nucleotide transfer RNA is filed under the name Clostridium sp. Its description in RNAcentral is "tRNA-Ser". It matches the Rfam family "tRNA". From Rfam's summary of the family: Transfer RNA (tRNA) molecules are approximately 80 nucleotides in length. Their secondary structure includes four short double-helical elements and three loops (D, anti-codon, and T loops). Lineage: Bacteria; Bacillati; Bacillota; Clostridia; Eubacteriales; Clostridiaceae. The record is from RNAcentral. RNAcentral also lists the same sequence under 6 other names.